AAACAAGAGCAUGCAACCCUCAAGAGGAAGCUUGAGAACUAUUUUCAGCUUGCAAGAGAAGCUCGUUAACUCGCCUACGUCAAAGCCACAAUGCGGAGGAAUGAUGGUGAUGCCAAAUAAGUGAACGUUACUAGUAGAAUGAAAAACUGUUGACUAUAUAUGUAAAUGUUUGUACUUUCUUAGAAUGAAAUAACUUUUCACUGAAUAAGUAAAAUGUUACUAUCAGUAGAAUGGAAAUAACUUUUGACCAGGUGAAUACGGAUGAUCAGUUUCCGUACA
This is a non-coding RNA of Salvia hispanica, 279 nucleotides long. The record is from RefSeq and is a predicted model, not a curated record. NCBI's taxonomy places the organism in Eukaryota, Viridiplantae, Streptophyta, Magnoliopsida, Lamiales, Lamiaceae.